RNAcentral lists this ribosomal RNA (1332 nucleotides) under uncultured organism. RNAcentral's name for it is "bacterial SSU rRNA". It matches the Rfam family "Bacterial small subunit ribosomal RNA", at positions 89 to 1425 of the family's 1533-position model. The record is from RNAcentral.
AGGACAGUGGCAGACGGGUGAGUAACGCGUGGGAAUCUACCUUGUAGUGGGGAAUAGCCUUUCGAAAGAGAGGGUAAUACCGCAUGUUUCCAAAUUUAUUUGGAAAAAGACUUCGGUCGCUAUAAGAGGAGCCCGCGUCCUAUCAGGUAGUUGGUGGGGUAAUAGCCUACCAAGCCAAUGACGGGUAGCCGGUGUGAGAGCACGACCGGCCACAAGGUCACUGAAACACGGGGCCUACACCUACGGGUGGCAGCAACCGGGAAUAUUGCGCAAUGGGCGAAAGCCUGACGCAGCGACACCGCGUGUGGGAAGAAGCUUUUCGGAGUGUAAACCACUGUGGCAAGGGAAGAAUUUUUGACGGUACCUUGCUAGAAAGCACCUGCUAACUACGUGCCAGAAGCCUCGGUAAUACGUAGGGUGCAAGCGUUAUCCGGAUUUAUUGGGCGUAAAGAGUUCCGCAGGCGUCUUUACAAGUUUCUUGUUUAAGCCUGAGGCUCAACUUCAGAAAAGCAAGAAAAACUGUAAAGAUUGAGUUUGUUUGGGGAAGCUGGAAUUCUCGGUGGAGGGGUGAAAUCCGUAGAUAUCGAGAGGAACACCAAUCGCGAAGGCAAGCUUCUAAAACAAUACUGACGCUAAGGGACGAAAGCUUGGGUAGCAAAAGGGAUUAGAGACCCCUGUAGUCCAAGCCGUAAACUUUCCUCGCUAGUUGCCUGGUUAAUAAUGCAUAGUAGCUAUAAAUAAUACUAUUCAUUAUUAACUGGGUGACGUAAGCUAACGCGUUAAGCGGGGCGCCUGGGGAGUACAACCGCAAGGUUAAAACUCAAAGGAAUUGACGGGGGAGCGCACAACUGGUGGAGCAUGUGGUUUAAUUCGAUACAAAGCGAAAAACCUUACCUGGGUUUGACAUAUACCUGCACGUUCUAUGAAAAUAGAAUUUCUUCGAGAGUGGUAUACAGGUGAUGCAUGGCUGUCGUCAGCUCGUGUCGUGAGACGUCCGCUUAAGUGCGGUAACGAGCGCAACCCUUGUCGUCAGUUAUACGUAUCUGACGAGACUGCCCUGCUGCUAGCAGGGAGGAAGGAGAGGACGACGUCAAGUCAGCAUGUCCCUUACAUCCAGGGCUACACACAUCCUACAAUGGGACUGACAACGGGUAGCGACAGGGCAACCUUGAGCUAAUCCUUAUAAACUGUCCCUCAGUUCAGAUUGCGGGCUGCAAUUCGCCCGCAUGAAGUCGGAAUCGGUAGUAAUCGCAAAUCAGCAGGUUGCGGCGAAUACGUUCUCGCUCCUUGUACACACUGCCCGUCAAGCCAGCAAAGUCGGCAGCACCCGAA